ACAAUAUUCAAAAGAAUAGUUAUAUACUUAAUAUUUGAAAAUCAAAGAUAUUUUUGCUAAAAUUUUACUUACCUGGCCAAGGAGAUCGUCCAUCUUUUUACGGAUCGAUAGAUUGUUGAGCAUGUGGUCGAACCGAAAAUACUCUGCAGUUUAAUUAAAUAUCUAAAACAUUUAUUCAAAUACUCAACAAAUAGUUUUGCUAAAUAUGAUAACUAGAUAGCCAACAAAAUUACAUAUAAAUAUUUAAACAGUAAAAAAUAUGUUACUUUAACGUGUUAAAAUUUAAAAAUAAAUUUUAAUUAUGACAUGCAUCUUAACAUUUAUAUUAAUAUAUAUCAUAACCUAAAUAUAAAUAAUUUAACAACUUAAAUUAGAAAAAAAUAAAAAUUCCGGGCGUAGCCCGGGUUAAUCCCUAGUUCGUAGUAACUUUCUCGUAAAAAAGAUUUUACGAGUAAUUAGCGAGGAAACACGUUUCGUCGCUAUUCGUUCGUCGUAACGCAUAUUUCUUCGCCAAUUCGUCGUAAAUUAGCGAGCAAAAAUUUCGUCGUAAAAACGAAGAACAGUACUCGUCGUAAAAACCACAUAAACUUUCCACGUAAGGAGAAUGCUACAUGUCCUCGUAAAUAUCUCGCAAGCAUUUCCUCAUAAAUUACACGUAAAUCUUUCCAUGUCAAAUACUCGUUAAACUUUCCUCGUAGUGUUGACGUAAACAUUUUACUCGUUACUUCCUCGUAACUUUUCGACGUAAAGUAAUCGUAAUUUAGCUACAAAUUUACUUCGAUUUUGAGAUUUUUAGAAUUAAAAAAUAUAAUAAAAAUUAUUUAAUUUUUUAAUAAAAAUCUAAUUUAAAAAUAAAAAUAAAUACGAAAAAUAUUUUAUACAUAAAUAAGUUUUGAAUAUAAUACAUUCCACGAAAAGUAAAAAAAAAAAGAACUAAGAGUCGUUCAUCGCCCAGUAGAAUUCCUCACUCCUCCUCUCUACAUCCGGGUCGGCAUGUGUGUCGGAUGAUGACUCACCUGGAAUGCGAUUUUGUCGUCGCAUGUUCCUCAACAAGGACUCCCAUUCCGGAUUUGUGGCCGCUAUAACGUCCAAGAAGCCCUCGACUCCACCCACACGAGCAGUGAACGCAGUUCGCGUCAAGUCCAACUCAUUACGCAGCUGAGUGACUUCAUCUUCCCGUAUCUGACCAUAAGACGAUGUCGCUCUCGGAACAUCGUUGACGAAACCAAUCCCCAACGUACGUCCCUUUUUCUUAGAGACAACCUUAAAAACAAAAAAAAUAUUAUUACUAAAAAGUUAAAGUUAAAUUAAAUGAAUAAUAAUAAAAUUUAAAAUUUCAAAAAGUUUACCUCCUCGUAAAUCUUAUCCACUUAUAGUAUGGAUAAGGUGACGGAUAAUCCGUC
This 1403-nucleotide long non-coding RNA is filed under the name Brassica rapa (field mustard). RNAcentral describes it as "long non-coding RNA (BRAP_LNC001431)". The record is from RNAcentral. Lineage: Eukaryota; Viridiplantae; Streptophyta; Magnoliopsida; Brassicales; Brassicaceae.